ACGAACGCUGGCGGCGUGGAUUAGGCAUGCAAGUCGAACGGUAGUAUCCUUUCGGGGAUAUGAGAGUGGCGAACGGGUGAGUAACACGUAGGUAAUCUACCCUCAAAUCGGGGACAACCCAGGGAAACUUGGGCUAAUACCGGAUGAGUGCGCUUUCGGGUGCAUAAAAGGUGGCGUAAGCUGCUGUUUGGGGAUGAGCCUGCGCUCUAUUAGUUAGUUGGUGAGGUAACUGCUUACCAAGGCGAUGAUAGAUAGGCGGCCUUAACGGGUGGUCGCCCACACUGGGAUUGAGAUACGGCCCAGACUCCUACGGGAGGCGGCAGUCGAGAAUAGUCUACAAUGGACGAAAGUCUGAUAGUGCGACGCCGCGUGAACGAAGAAGCCCUUCGGGGUGUAAAGUUCUUUUAUAUGUCAAGAAAAUGACGGUAGCAUAUGAAUAAGCACCGGCUAACUCCGU
RNAcentral lists this ribosomal RNA (457 nucleotides) under uncultured bacterium. RNAcentral's name for it is "bacterial SSU rRNA". It matches the Rfam family "Bacterial small subunit ribosomal RNA", at positions 29 to 506 of the family's 1533-position model. The record is from RNAcentral.